UGGCGGACGGGUGAGUAACGCGUGGAUAACCUGCCUUAUACAGGGGGAUAACAGGGAGAAAUUCUUGCUAAUACCCCAUAGGUAUGUCUGACGCAUGUUGGACAUAUUAAAGCUUUGGCGGUAUAAGAUGGGUCCGCGUCUGAUUAGCUAGUUGGUGGGGUAAAGGCCCACCAAGGCGACGAUCAGUAGCCGGCUUGAGAGAGUGGACGGCCACAUUGGGACUGAGACACGGCCCAAACUCCUACGGGAGGCAGCAGUGGGGAAUAAUGCACAAUGGGGGAAACCCUGAUGCAGCGACGCCGCGUGAAGGAAGAAGGUCUUCGGAUCGUAAACUUCUAUCAGCAGGGAAGAAGGAAGUGACAGUACCUGAGUAAGAAGCCCCGGCUAACUACGUGCCAGCAGCCGCGGUAAUACGUAGGGGGCGAGCGUCAUCCGGAAUUACUGGGUGUA
This 450-nucleotide ribosomal RNA is filed under the name uncultured bacterium. RNAcentral's name for it is "bacterial SSU rRNA". It matches the Rfam family "Bacterial small subunit ribosomal RNA", at positions 96 to 562 of the family's 1533-position model. The record is from RNAcentral.